This 253-nucleotide ribosomal RNA is filed under the name uncultured bacterium. RNAcentral describes it as "partial 16S ribosomal RNA". It matches the Rfam family "Bacterial small subunit ribosomal RNA", at positions 524 to 776 of the family's 1533-position model. The record is from RNAcentral.
UACAGAGGUGGCAAGCGUUGUUCGGAAUUACUGGGCGUAAAGGGCGCGUAGGCGGCCAUCUAAGUCAGACGUGAAAUCCCCCGGCUUAACCUGGGAACUGCGUCUGAUACUGGACGGCUCGAGUAUGGGAGAGGGAUGUAGAAUUCCAGGUGUAGCGGUGAAAUGCGUAGAUAUCUGGAGGAACACCGGUGGCGAAGGCGGCUCACUGGCCCGGUACUGACGCUGAGGUGCGAAAGCGUGGGGAGCAAACAGG